RNAcentral lists this unclassified non-coding RNA (475 nucleotides) under Hevea brasiliensis (rubber tree). The record is from RNAcentral. Lineage: Eukaryota; Viridiplantae; Streptophyta; Magnoliopsida; Malpighiales; Euphorbiaceae.
GUUCUCCUGGGUUCAUGUAAUCUUCUGGGAGCCCACCUUCCUAGCCUGGUCCUUAACAGUAUAAUUAUUAAUCAAUUUUCUUAACUAGUGCAAGAAAUAAUGGAGAUUAAAUAUCUAACCUUAUCAGUUAUCACAAUAAAAAGAGAAUCUAUUUUGUUCUUUAGCUACUUGGUUUUGAGUUUCAAAGUUUUGGUCCUCCUAUUCUUGUGGAUAAUAACAUUGCAGUGGUAGAAGUUGAAUAAGAACUUAGUCAGCCUAAAAUUUUACGUGUCAAGAGUUCUGAGAGAUUUAGGUUGAAUAAGGCUAAAGAAAAUGAUAAAUGACGGUUGGAGAAGUGCAUGAUUUUGAUUUUAGGAUCUAGUGGCAGCGUGGCUAGUGCAUGAUUUCGAAGAAGCUGAUGAUUGAGAAUUUGGCUUCCAGUGAUAUAAAAAACAAGGUGAAGGAAUGCAGUUCAAUCUAGAAACUGUCAUAUCAG